Molecule: long non-coding RNA, 792 nt
Filed under: Amphimedon queenslandica
Lineage: Eukaryota; Metazoa; Porifera; Demospongiae; Haplosclerida; Niphatidae
Description: uncharacterized LOC109580213, transcript variant X6
Source: RNAcentral
CUAAUUUACUCUACUAUAGGACGAGCACACCCCCAAAAUGGCCGCCAUCCCAGAAGCAUUGAGUCUAAGAGUCUCGCUAGCCACCCCAAUGACUGUAGGCUGGGGAAUGGUCUGGCUAGUGAGACUACAUUGAGCCCGGAUAAAUCUUCAGGAAUUCUUUAUGGCUUAUCUGACGGUCCAGAUGUCCUUUAUAAUUAUUUUUAUGAAAACAGAUCAGUCUUAUCAAAAGUAGUUAAAAACUUCCAUAAAAUAUUUUUACGGCUAAUGAAUGCAUAUGCCUGCAUGCACCAAUUGUUCAAUGAAGUUUCUCCGUCUUCUUCCACAGAACUACAAAGUAAACAGCCUAUCUACUGACAGUCUGACGCCAAUCACUUCAAUCUCAUAGCGAAGGGGCGGGGCGACAAGACUAUUCUCUUCAUUACUUUAAUCUCUUCAACUCUUCAAGUAAGGCAUUGCCACAGUGAAAUAAAAAGGUGGAUAUGAAACGGGAAGGAGUCAUGAGCAAAUGGUCAAUAAAAUGAGAUUGUGCUCCUAUCCAGCAGCAACUUAUGGAUGCAGCUUAAAGCCUGUGACUGUUUCUACAAUUCCUCCCUCCCCCAUGUGCUCCCUUUCUCUCUGUCCCUUUCUGUCUUACACUGGAGCUCCAUCAAUAAACAUACAUGUAGGUCUCCUGUAAUGAAUACAACAUUUCAAACUCCUCUCAUUAAAUUAUAUUUCUGUUAAACAUAGAUCUAAUUUUGUAAUAUUGUUUAUUUUACUUACUUUUCAAUAGUUUAGCAUGCUUCUUUUCAA